GACGAACGCUGGCGGCGUGCUUAACACAUGCAAGUCGAACGGAAAGGCCCUGCUUGUGGGGUAUUCGAGUGGCGAACGGGUGAGUAAAACGUGGGUGUUCCGUCCCGCACUUCGGGAUAUGCCUUGAAAACAGGGUCUAUUAUCGGAUAGGAGCGAUCCUGAUGGAGAGGGUUGGAAAGAAUUUUUGGUGUGGGAGGAGCGCGCGGCCUAUCAGUUUGCUGGUGGGGGAAUGGCCUACCCAGGCGGCGGCGGGUAGCCGGCCGGAGGGGGUGGACGGCCCCCUUGGGGCUGGGGUACGGCCCAGGCUCCUUCGGGGGGGAGCAGGGGGGGAUAUUGCACCAUGGGGGCGAGCCUGAUGCAGGGACGCCGCGUGGGGGAUGGCGGCCUUCGGGUUGUUAACUCGUUUCGCUAGGGGCCAAACUUUUUGUGACGGUACCUGGAUAAGAAGCACCGGCUAACUACGUG
This 465-nucleotide ribosomal RNA is filed under the name uncultured bacterium. Its description in RNAcentral is "partial 16S ribosomal RNA". It matches the Rfam family "Bacterial small subunit ribosomal RNA", at positions 28 to 507 of the family's 1533-position model. The record is from RNAcentral.